AACGAACGCUGGCGGCAGGCCUAACACAUGCAAGUCGAACGCCCUGGCGACAGGGAGUGGCAGACGGGUGAGUAACGCGUGGGAACGUGCCUUUCGGUUCGGAAUAACCCAGGGAAACUUGGACUAAUACCGGAUACGUGCGAGAGCAGAAAGAUUUAUCGCCGAAAGAUCGGCCCGCGUCCGAUUAGCUAGUUGGUGAGGUAAAGGCUCACCAAGGCGACGAUCGGUAGCUGGUCUGAGAGGAUGAUCAGCCACACUGGGACUGAGACACGGCCCAGACUCCUACGGGAGGCAGCAGUGGGGAAUAUUGGACAAUGGGCGAAAGCCUGACGCAGCGACGCCGCGUGGGGGAGUGAAGGUCUUCGGAUUG
RNAcentral lists this ribosomal RNA (370 nucleotides) under uncultured bacterium. RNAcentral describes it as "bacterial SSU rRNA". It matches the Rfam family "Bacterial small subunit ribosomal RNA", at positions 29 to 425 of the family's 1533-position model. The record is from RNAcentral.